UUGUGUGGCCAUACCACCCUGAACACGCCUGAUCUUGGAAACUAAGCAGGGUCGGGCCUGGUUAGCACUUGGAUGGGAGAUUGCCUGGGAAUAACAGGCGCUGUAAGUU
RNAcentral lists this ribosomal RNA (109 nucleotides) under Amphilophus citrinellus (Midas cichlid). Lineage: Eukaryota; Metazoa; Chordata; Actinopteri; Cichliformes; Cichlidae. The record is from RNAcentral.